RNAcentral lists this small RNA (215 nucleotides) under Bos taurus (domestic cattle). The record is from RNAcentral. Lineage: Eukaryota; Metazoa; Chordata; Mammalia; Artiodactyla; Bovidae.
AUCCCAUGGACAGAGGAGCCUGGUGGGCCACAGUCCGUGGGGUCCCAAGAAGUCCGACACGACUGAGCGGUUACUGCUUAAUACUAGGAAGAAAUUGGGCGAGAAGCGAAGUGUUAGAACGGAAGGGAUUUAUUGAGAGUAGGACACUUGGAAGGUUCCCAAGCGUUGUGUUGCCCUAAGUACUCAGUUACACUUACACCAUCAGAGGAGGAGGG